GUGGCUAUAGUUCAGUUGGUAGAACGCAGGACUGUGACUCCUGAUGUCGUGGGUUCGAGCCCCACUAGCCACC
Molecule: transfer RNA, 73 nt
Filed under: Oceanotoga teriensis
Lineage: Bacteria; Thermotogati; Thermotogota; Thermotogae; Petrotogales; Petrotogaceae
Description: Thermotogales bacterium OCT74 tRNA
Rfam family: tRNA
About the family: Transfer RNA (tRNA) molecules are approximately 80 nucleotides in length. Their secondary structure includes four short double-helical elements and three loops (D, anti-codon, and T loops). Further hydrogen bonds mediate the characteristic L-shaped molecular structure. tRNAs have two regions of fundamental functional importance: the anti-codon, which is responsible for specific mRNA codon recognition, and the 3' end, to which the tRNAs corresponding amino acid is attached (by aminoacyl-tRNA synthetases). tRNAs cope with the degeneracy of the genetic code in two manners: having more than one tRNA (with a specific anti-codon) for a particular amino acid; and 'wobble' base-pairing, i.e. permitting non-standard base-pairing at the 3rd anti-codon position.
Source: Rfam by way of RNAcentral